This 429-nucleotide ribosomal RNA is filed under the name uncultured Propionivibrio sp. Its description in RNAcentral is "bacterial SSU rRNA". It matches the Rfam family "Bacterial small subunit ribosomal RNA", at positions 355 to 776 of the family's 1533-position model. The record is from RNAcentral. Lineage: Bacteria; Pseudomonadati; Pseudomonadota; Betaproteobacteria; Rhodocyclales; Rhodocyclaceae.
UGGGGAAUUUUGGACAAUGGGGGCAACCCUGAUCCAGCCAUGCCGCGUGAGUGAAGAAGGCCUUCGGGUUGUAAAGCUCUUUCGGUGGGGAAGAAAUGGUUUCGGUUAAUACCCGGAAUUGAUGACGGUACCCGCAUAAGAAGCACCGGCUAACUACGUGCCAGCAGCCGCGGUAAUACGUAGGGUGCGAGCGUUAAUCGGAAUUACUGGGCGUAAAGCGUGCGCAGGCGGUUUUGUAAGUCAGAUGUGAAAUCCCCGGGCUCAACCUGGGAACUGCAUUUGAGACUGCAAGGCUAGAGUGUGGCAGAGGGGGGUAGAAUUCCACGUGUAGCAGUGAAAUGCGUAGAGAUGUGGAGGAAUACCGAUGGCGAAGGCAGCCCCCUGGGCCAAUACUGACGCUCAUGCACGAAAGCGUGGGGAGCAAACAGG